UGUAUUGCAUAGUUUUAGGGAUUGAAUUUCACUCAAAACUCACCAAAUGACUUCGCCCAUUAUGUUAUAAUGUUCCCUAAGUUUUGGGCUCAAUCCGAUAUCGAUUGGUCCGUUAAAUUGGAUAAUUCAAGUUCAUGCGAAGUUCGUUCUGAAAUGAAAUGGUUGGUGUAUUGCAUAGUUUUAGAGAUUGGAUUACACUCAAAACCCACCAAAUGACUCAUCCCACCACAUUAUGAUGUUGAACAAGUUUUGGACUCAAUCCGAUAUCGAUUGGACCAUGAAAUUGGACAAUUCAG
RNAcentral lists this long non-coding RNA (296 nucleotides) under Prunus persica (peach). Its description in RNAcentral is "long non-coding RNA (PPER_LNC002236)". Lineage: Eukaryota; Viridiplantae; Streptophyta; Magnoliopsida; Rosales; Rosaceae. The record is from RNAcentral.